Molecule: ribosomal RNA, 632 nt
Filed under: Fusarium sp. F-267,620
Lineage: Eukaryota; Fungi; Ascomycota; Sordariomycetes; Hypocreales; Nectriaceae
Description: eukaryotic LSU rRNA
Rfam family: Eukaryotic large subunit ribosomal RNA
Source: RNAcentral
GGUUGACCUCGGAUCAGGUAGGAAUACCCGCUGAACUUAAGCAUAUCAAUAAGCGGAGGAAAAGAAACCAACAGGGAUUGCCCUAGUAACGGCGAGUGAAGCGGCAACAGCUCAAAUUUGAAAUCUGGCCCCUGGGUCCGAGUUGUAAUUUGUAGAGGAUGCUUUUGGUGCGGUACCUUCCGAGUUCCCUGGAACGGGACGCCAUAGAGGGUGAGAGCCCCGUCUGGUUGGAUACCAAGCCUCUGUAAAGCUCCUUCGACGAGUCGAGUAGUUUGGGAAUGCUGCUCUAAAUGGGAGGUAUAUGUCUUCUAAAGCUAAAUAUUGGCCAGAGACCGAUAGCGCACAAGUAGAGUGAUCGAAAGAUGAAAAGCACUUUGAAAAGAGGGUUAAACAGUACGUGAAAUUGUUGAAAGGGAAGCGCUUGUGACCAGACUUGGGCCCGGUUAAUCAUCCACCGUUCUCGGUGGUGCACUUGGCCGGCCCAGGCCAGCAUCAGUUCGGCGCGGGGGAUAAAGGCGUCGGGAAUGUGGCUCCCCCGGGAGUGUUAUAGCCCGUCGUGCAAUACCCUGCGCUGGACUGAGGUUCGCGCAUCUGCAAGGAUGCUGGCGUAAUGGUCAUCAGCGACCCGUCUU